CACUCCUGCGGGAGGCAGCAGUGGGGAAUAUUGCACAAUGGGCGCAAGCCUGAUGCAGCCAUGCCGCGUGUGUGAAGAAGGCCUUCGGGUUGUAAAGCACUUUCAGCGGGGAGGAAGGCGAUACGGUUAAUAACCGUGUUGAUUGACGUUACCCGCAGAAGAAGCACCGGCUAACUCCGUGCCAGCAGCCGCGGUAAUACGGAGGGUGCAAGCGUUAAUCGGAAUUACUGGGCGUAAAGCGCACGCAGGCGGUCUGUCAAGUCGGAUGUGAAAUCCCCGGGCUCAACCUGGGAACUGCAUUCGAAACUGGCAGGCUUGAGUCUUGUAGAGGGGGGUAGAAUUCCAGGUGUAGCGGUGAAAUGCGUAGAGAUCUGGAGGAAUACCGGUGGCGAAGACGGCCCCCUGGACAAAGACUGACGCUCAGGUGCGAAAGCGUGGGGAGCAAACAGGAUUAGAUACCCCUGUAGUCCCAUGA
RNAcentral lists this ribosomal RNA (475 nucleotides) under uncultured organism. RNAcentral's name for it is "partial 16S ribosomal RNA". It matches the Rfam family "Bacterial small subunit ribosomal RNA", at positions 334 to 800 of the family's 1533-position model. The record is from RNAcentral.